RNAcentral lists this ribosomal RNA (467 nucleotides) under uncultured bacterium. Its description in RNAcentral is "partial 16S ribosomal RNA". It matches the Rfam family "Bacterial small subunit ribosomal RNA", at positions 28 to 507 of the family's 1533-position model. The record is from RNAcentral.
GAUGAACGCUGGCGGCGUGCUUAACACAUGCAAGUCGAACGAUGAUGCCCAGCUUGCUGGGUGGAUUAGUGGCGAACGGGUGAGUAACACGUGAGUAACCUGCCCUUGACUCUGGGAUAAGCCUGGGAAACUGGGUCUAAUACCGGAUACGACCAUCUGGCGCAUGUCAUGGUGGUGGAAAGCUUUUGUGGUUUUGGAUGGACUCGCGGCCUAUCAGCUUGUUGGUGGGGUAAUGGCCUACCAAGGCGACGACGGGUAGCCGGCCUGAGAGGGGGACCGGCCACCAUGGGACUGAGACACGGCGCAGACGCCUACGGGAGGCAGCAGUGGGGAAUAUUGCACAAUGGGCGCAAGCCUGAUGCAGCGACGCCGCGUGAGGGAUGACGGCCUUCGGGUUGUAAACAUCUUUCAGUAGGGAAGAAGCGAAAGUGACGGUACCUGCAGAAGAAGCGCCGGCUAACUACGUG